RNAcentral lists this ribosomal RNA (647 nucleotides) under uncultured bacterium. Its description in RNAcentral is "bacterial SSU rRNA". It matches the Rfam family "Bacterial small subunit ribosomal RNA", at positions 183 to 828 of the family's 1533-position model. The record is from RNAcentral.
GGAGGGCAUCCUUCCGGGAUUAGAGGAGCGAUCCGGCUGCGGAUGGUCAUGCGGCGCAUUAGCUUGUUGGCGGGGUAACGGCCCACCAAGGCGACGAUGCGUAGGGGUUCUGAGAGGAAGGUCCCCCACACUGGUACUGAGACACGGACCAGACUCCUACGGGAGGCAGCAGUGAGGAAUAUUGGUCAAUGGCCGGGAGGCUGAACCAGCCAAGUCGCGUGAGGGAAGACGGCCCUACGGGUUGUAAACCUCUUUUGCCGGGGAGCAAAGGGCGGGAUGUGUCCCGCGUCGAGAGUACCCGGAGAAAAAGCAUCGGCUAACUCCGUGCCAGCAGCCGCGGUAAUACGGAGGAUGCGAGCGUUAUCCGGAUUUAUUGGGUUUAAAGGGUGCGCAGGCGGGAUGUCAAGUCAGCGGUAAAAUCGGGAGGCUCAACCUCUCUCAGCCGUUGAAACUGGCGUUCUUGAGUGGGCGAGAAGUAUGCGGAAUGCGUGGUGUAGCGGUGAAAUGCAUAGAUAUCACGCAGAACCCCGAUUGCGAAGGCAGCAUACCGGCGCCCGACUGACGCUCAUGCACGAAAGCGUGGGUAUCGAACAGGAUUAGAUACCCUGGUAGUCCACGCAGUAAACGAUGAAUACUCGCUGUGCGGC